Molecule: ribosomal RNA, 253 nt
Filed under: uncultured bacterium
Lineage: Bacteria
Description: partial 16S ribosomal RNA
Rfam family: Bacterial small subunit ribosomal RNA
Source: RNAcentral
UACGUAGGGUGCGAGCGUUGUCCGGAAUUAUUGGGCGUAAAGAGCUUGUAGGCGGUUUGUCGCGUCUGCUGUGAAAAUCCGGGGCUCAACCUGGGAACUGCAUCCGAAACUGCCUUGCUCGAGUAUGGGAGAGGGAAGUGGAAUUCUCGGUGUAGAGGUGAAAUUCGUAGAUAUCGGGAGGAACACCAGUGGCGAAGGCGGCGACCUGGGCCAAUACUGACGCUGAGGUGCGAAAGCGUGGGGAGCAAACAGG